AUUGAACGCUGGCGGCAUGCCUUACACAUGCAAGUCGAACGGUAACAGGUCUUCGGAUGCUGACGAGUGGCGAACGGGUGAGUAAUACAUCGGAACGUGCCUAGUAGUGGGGGAUAACUACUCGAAAGAGUGGCUAAUACCGCAUGAGAUCUACGGAUGAAAGCAGGGGAUCGCAAGACCUUGUGCUACUAGAGCGGCCGAUGGCAGAUUAGGUAGUUGGUGGGAUAAAAGCUUACCAAGCCGACGAUCUGUAGCUGGUCUGAGAGGACGAUUAGCCACACUGGGACUAGGACACGGCCCAGACUCCUACGGGAGGCAGCAGUGGGGAAUUUUGGACAAUGGGCGAAAGCCUGAUCCAGCAAUGCCGCGUGCAGGAUGAAGGCCUUCGGGUUGUAAACUGCUUUUGUACGGAACGAAAAGCCCCGGGUUAAUACCCUGGGGUCAUGACGGUACCGUAAGAAUAAGCACCGGCUAACUACGUGCCAGCCGCCGCCGUAA
This 498-nucleotide ribosomal RNA is filed under the name uncultured bacterium. Its description in RNAcentral is "partial 16S ribosomal RNA". It matches the Rfam family "Bacterial small subunit ribosomal RNA", at positions 30 to 523 of the family's 1533-position model. The record is from RNAcentral.